RNAcentral lists this ribosomal RNA (450 nucleotides) under uncultured bacterium. Its description in RNAcentral is "bacterial SSU rRNA". It matches the Rfam family "Bacterial small subunit ribosomal RNA", at positions 354 to 796 of the family's 1533-position model. The record is from RNAcentral.
GUGGGGAAUUUUGGACAAUGGGCGCAAGCCUGAUCCAGCCAUGCCGCGUGUGGGAAGAAGGCCUUCGGGUUGUAAACCACUUUUGUCAGGGAAGAAACGGCUCUUACUAAUAUUAGGAGCUAAUGACGGUACCUGAAGAAUAAGCACCGGCUAACUACGUGCCAGCAGCCGCGGUAAUACGUAGGGUGCAAGCGUUAAUCGGAAUUACUGGGCGUAAAGCGUGCGCAGGCGGCUUUGCAAGACAGAUGUGAAAUCCCCGGGCUCAACCUGGGAACUGCAUUUGUGACUGCAUGGCUAGAGUACGGUAGAGGGGGAUGGAAUUCCGCGUGUAGCAGUGAAAUGCGUAGAUAUGCGGAGGAACACCGAUGGCGAAGGCAAUCCCCUGGACCUGUACUGACGCUCAUGCACGAAAGCGUGGGGAGCAAACAGGAUUAGAUACCCUUGUAGUCC